ACUCCUACGGGAGGCAGCAGUGGGGAAUUUUGGACAAUGGGCGAAAGCCUGAUCCAGCAAUGCCGCGUGUGUGAAGAAGGCCUUCGGGUUGUAAAGCACUUUUGUCCGGAAAGAAAUCCUUGGCUCUAAUACAGUCGGGGGAUGACGGUACCGGAAGAAUAAGCACCGGCUAACUACGUGCCAGCAGCCGCGGUAAUACGUAGGGUGCGAGCGUUAAUCGGAAUUACUGGGCGUAAAGCGUGCGCAGGCGGUUUGCUAAGACCGAUGUGAAAUCCCCGGGCUCAACCUGGGAACUGCAUUGGUGACUGGCAGGCUAGAGUAUGGCAGAGGGGGGUAGAAUUCCACGUGUAGCAGUGAAAUGCGUAGAGAUGUGGAGGAAUACCGAUGGCGAAGGCAGCCCCCUGGGCCAAUACUGACGCUCAUGCACGAAAGCGUGGGGAGCAAACAGGAUUAGAAACCCGUGUAGUCCC
This 470-nucleotide ribosomal RNA is filed under the name uncultured organism. RNAcentral describes it as "partial 16S ribosomal RNA". It matches the Rfam family "Bacterial small subunit ribosomal RNA", at positions 335 to 797 of the family's 1533-position model. The record is from RNAcentral.